CCCCUAGACGUUCUGGGCUGCACGCGCGCUACAAUAAUACGCACAGCGAGUAUCACCGAGCUCGAAAGGGCAAGGUAAACAAUAGAAAAGGUACUGUAAUGGUUAUAGAUCCUUGUAAUUAUUGAUCUUCAACGAGGAAUUCCUAGUAAGUAUGUGUCAUCAUCACGCACUGAUUACGUCCCUGCCCUUUGUACACACCGCCCGUCGCUCCUACCGAUUGGGUGAGCCGAUGAAACUCUCGGAUGUAGGCUAUUCAUAGCCCGCAGAAGAGAUUUGAAUCGUAGCGCUUAGAGGAAGGAGAAGUCGCAACA
Molecule: ribosomal RNA, 311 nt
Filed under: uncultured eukaryote
Lineage: Eukaryota
Description: partial 18S ribosomal RNA
Rfam family: Eukaryotic small subunit ribosomal RNA
Source: RNAcentral